This 63-nucleotide transfer RNA is filed under the name Platynereis massiliensis. RNAcentral's name for it is "tRNA-Lys". Lineage: Eukaryota; Metazoa; Annelida; Polychaeta; Phyllodocida; Nereididae. The record is from RNAcentral.
UUCUUAGAAGCUUGCAACAGCAGUGAAUUUUUACUUCAUUAAUAGAGGUAACCUCCUAAGAAG